RNAcentral lists this ribosomal RNA (327 nucleotides) under uncultured bacterium. Its description in RNAcentral is "bacterial SSU rRNA". It matches the Rfam family "Bacterial small subunit ribosomal RNA", at positions 499 to 825 of the family's 1533-position model. The record is from RNAcentral.
AACUACGUGCCAGCAGCCGCGGUAAUACGUAGGGUGCGAGCGUUAAUCGGAAUUACUGGGCGUAAAGCGUGCGCAGGCGGUUUUGUAAGACGGAUGUGAAAUCCCCGGGCUCAACCUGGGAACUGCAUUCGUGACUGCAAGGCUAGAGUAUGGCAGAGGGGGGUAGAAUUCCACGUGUAGCAGUGAAAUGCGUAGAGAUGUGGAGGAAUACCGAUGGCGAAGGCAGCCCCCUGGGCCAAUACUGACGCUCAUGCACGAAAGCGUGGGGAGCAAACAGGAUUAGAUACCCUGGUAGUCCACGCCCUAAACGAUGUCAACUAGUUGUUG